UCGAACCGUUCAUUACGUGCUCAAAGAAGAAGAGCUCCAAUUAUCAAAAUUCUUUCAGAAGGAUGAAAACAUUAAGAUUUCAUUGGUCUUCAAUAGAUGCCGAGUUGGAUGCUCUAAGAAUUCUCGUACAUGAUGGCCAAUAUGAAUAGGUAGACCCAACUGAUUUUGUUUUAAAGGAUAAUUCUAUCCAAGAAAGAGAAGAAGAGAAAGAAGAAGAACUGGAAGAAGAGGAAGAGGUGGAAGAAGAGGAAAAAUUGAAAGAAAAAUAUGAAAGGCACCAGACAUCUGAAGAGGCCGAUGAGUAGUGCUAAGUAUAUAAUCCUAGAAUCAUUUUAGUUAUUUAUCUUGCAUCAUUUUAAAUCUUGCAUUAUCAUCUAUAAUUAUAUAAUUAAUUUGAUGAAUCUAUUUAUUUUUAUUUUCAGAGAUUAUAUAUUAUAUCUUCCAAAGGUCAGAGCCAUGCCAGCUUAAGAUAGAGCUCUCGAGAGACUGUAAAAAUUCUUCACUAGAACUAUAAAAAUUCUUAUAUGUAUACUUUAAUUAAUUUAAUUUUAUUAUCUACUUAUUGUAAAUAUGGUAGCUGAGUCAUCCACCAGGCCAG
RNAcentral lists this long non-coding RNA (598 nucleotides) under Elaeis guineensis (African oil palm). RNAcentral describes it as "long non-coding RNA (EGUI_LNC054309)". Lineage: Eukaryota; Viridiplantae; Streptophyta; Magnoliopsida; Arecales; Arecaceae. The record is from RNAcentral.